RNAcentral lists this ribosomal RNA (497 nucleotides) under uncultured bacterium. RNAcentral's name for it is "partial 16S ribosomal RNA". It matches the Rfam family "Bacterial small subunit ribosomal RNA", at positions 28 to 507 of the family's 1533-position model. The record is from RNAcentral.
GAUGAACGCUGGCGGCGUGCCUAAUACAUGCAAGUCGAGCGAACAGACGAGGAGCUUGCUCCUCUGACGUUAGCGGCGGACGGGUGAGUAACACGUGGAUAGCCUACCUAUAAGACUGGGAUAACUUCGGGAAACCGGAGCUAAUACCGGAUAAUAUAUUGAACCGCAUGGUUCAAUAGUGAAAGACGGUUUUGCUGUCACUUAUAGAUGGAUCCGCGCCGCAUUAGCUAGUUGGUAAGGUAACGGCUUACCAAGGCGACGAUGCGUAGCCGACCUGAGAGGGUGAUCGGCCACACUGGAACUGAGACACGGUCCAGACUCCUACGGGAGGCAGCAGUAGGGAAUCUUCCGCAAUGGGCGAAAGCCUGACGGAGCAACGCCGCGUGAGUGAUGAAGGUCUUCGGAUCGUAAAACUCUGAUAUUAGGGAAGAACAAAUGUGUAAGUAACUAUGCACGUCUUGACGGUACCUAAUCAGAAAGCCACGGCUAACUACGUG